Molecule: ribosomal RNA, 489 nt
Filed under: uncultured bacterium
Lineage: Bacteria
Description: bacterial SSU rRNA
Rfam family: Bacterial small subunit ribosomal RNA
Source: RNAcentral
GAUGAACGCUAGCGGCAGGCUUAAUACAUGCAAGUCGAGGGGCAGCAGGACUGUAGCAAUACAGUUGCUGGCGACCGGCAAACGGGUGCGGAACACGUACGCAAUCUACCCAAAACUGGUGAAUAGCCCUCCGAAAGGAGGAUUAAUACACCGUAACUUAAUGAAGUGGCAUCGCUUUAUUAAUAUAGCUCCGGCGGUUUUGGAUGAGCGUGCGCCUGAUUAGGAGUUGGCGGGGUAAUGGCCCACCAAGCCUGCGAUCAGUAACUGGUGUGAGAGCACGACCAGUCACACGGGCACUGAGACACGGGCCCGACUCCUACGGGAGGCAGCAGUAAGGAAUAUUGGUCAAUGGGCGCAAGCCUGAACCAGCCAUGCCGCGUGCAGGAAGACGGCCCGUACGGGUUGUAAACUGCUUUUGCAGGGAAUAAACCCCGGUACGUGUACCGGGCUGAAUGUACUCUGAGAAUAAGGAUCGGCUAACUCCGUGCC